ACUAAAGUCAAACAUCCCCCAAACUGUUAUACGCUCCCGGGGACAGGAUGCCCCACCACGAAAGUGACUUUAACACUUCUCCCGAACCCACCACAGCUAUGAAACAAACUGGGAUUAGAUACCCCACUAUGCUUAGCCAUAAACUUUGAUAGUACUUUACACCCACUAUCCGCCCGGGAACUACAAGCGCCAGCUUCAAACCCAAAGGACUUGGCGGUGCUUCAAACCCACCUAGAGGAGCCUGUUCUAGAAUCGAUAAUCCCCGUUCAACCUCACCACCUCUGGCUAAUUCCGCCUAUAUACCGCCGUCGUCAGCUUACCCUUUGAAGGCCUCAUAGUAAGCAUAACGGGCACAGCCCCAAACGUCAGGUCAAGGUGUAGCGUAUGAGAUGGAAAGAAAUGGGCUACAUUCUCUAAUCCCAGAGAACACGAAAGGUACAAUGAAAUACGUACCCGAAGGAGGAUUUAGCAGUAAGAAGAAAAAACGAGUGUUCUUCUGAAGCCGGCUCUGAAGCGCGCACACACCGCCCGUCACUCUCCCCAAAUAUAACCCACCUAGUUAAUAAAAAACCUUUUAAACGAAGGGGAGGCAAGUCGUAA
This 600-nucleotide ribosomal RNA is filed under the name Magnisudis atlantica (duckbill barracudina). RNAcentral's name for it is "partial 12S ribosomal RNA". It matches the Rfam family "Bacterial small subunit ribosomal RNA", at positions 655 to 1491 of the family's 1533-position model. Lineage: Eukaryota; Metazoa; Chordata; Actinopteri; Aulopiformes; Paralepididae. The record is from RNAcentral.